AGAACAGACCCGGCUUCUGGAAUCCCCUGGAUCCCGGUUCCUGCGGUGACACGCGAGGCUGGUAACUGGAAUCUCCAGACCCAGGCCCAAGCUGGCCAGGGAUGCCCACUGAGCCCCAACUGUCCAACCAGGGCACCCAGGACUGACGUGUAGCAGAAACUGUCCAUGGAGCUGGUUAACAAGGUGGACAGGGGGCUGUGGUGAUGGCACAGUUUGACACUGAAUACCAGCGCCUAGAGGCCUCCUAUAGCGAUUCGCCCCCCGGGGAAGAGGACCUGUUGGUGCAUGUGGCCGAGGGGAGCAAAUCACCUUGGCACCACAUUGAAAACCUUGACCUCUUCUUCUCUCGAGUUUAUAAUCUCCACCAGAAGAAUGGCUUCACAUGUAUGCUCAUUGGAGAGAUGUUUGAACUCAUGCAGUUCCUCUUUGUGGUUGCCUUCACCACCUUCCUGGUUAGCUGUGUGGACUAUGACAUCCUCUUUGCCAACAAGAUGGUGAACCACAGUCUCCAUCCUACUGAGCCUGUCAAGGUCACUCUGCCAGAUGCCUUUUUGCCUGCCCAAGUCUGUAGUGCCAGGAUUCAGGAAAAUGGCUCUCUUAUCACCAUCCUGGUCAUUGCUGGUGUCUUCUGGAUCCACCGGCUUAUCAAGUUUAUCUAUAACAUUUGCUGCUAUUGGGAGAUCCACUCCUUCUACCUACAUGCUCUUCGGAUCCCAAUGGGUUUCUCAGUGUAGCCCUGGCUGUCCUGGAACUCACUCUGUAGCCUGGCCUCAAACUCAGAAAUCUGCCUGCAUUUGCCUCCCAAGUGAUGGGAUUAAAGGCGUGCGCCAUCACUGCCCGCAGGAAGUAUCUUUAAGCAUACGACUUAUAUCUGUGUAGGCAAAGUCCUACAUCUGUGUUGAACAAAGGGUUUAGCUAUACUUUAUACAUCUCCUAUACUUGUCUCUUGUCCACCCUAUCCUGGCAGUCUGCCCUUCCAUACUGCACAUGGCAGGAAGUUCAGGCCCGGAUUGUGCAGACGCAGAAAGAGCAUCAGAUCUGCAUCCACAAGCGUGAGCUGACAGAGUUGGACAUCUACCAUCGCAUCCUACGUUUCCAGAACUACAUGGUGGCCCUGGUGAACAAAUCCCUCCUGCCUCUGCGCUUCCGUCUGCCCGGCCUCGGAGAGGUUGUCUUCUUCACCCGUGGCCUCAAGUACAACUUUGAGCUCAUCCUCUUCUGGGGACCCGGCUCUCUGUUUCUCAAUGAGUGGAGCCUCAAGGCCGAGUACAAACGUGGAGGGCAACGGCUAGAGCUGGCCCAGCGUCUCAGCAACCGCAUCUUGUGGAUUGGCAUCGCCAACUUCCUGCUGUGUCCCCUCAUCCUCAUCUGGCAGAUCCUCUAUGCCUUCUUCAGCUAUGCCGAGGUGCUGAAGAGAGAGCCGGGGGCCCUGGGAGCGCGUUGCUGGUCACUCUAUGGCCGUUGUUACCUCCGCCACUUCAAUGAGCUGGAGCAUGAGCUGCAGUCCCGCCUCAACCGAGGCUACAAGCCCGCCUCCAAGUACAUGAAUUGCUUCUUGUCACCGCUGCUGACUCUGCUGGCCAAGAAUGGUGCCUUCUUCGCUGGCUCUAUCCUGGCUGUGCUUAUUGCCCUCACCAUCUAUGAUGAAGAUGUGUUAGCUGUGGAACACGUCCUCACCACGGUCACCCUCCUGGGAGUCACGGUGACUGUGUGCAGGUCCUUCAUCCCAGACCAGCACAUGGUGUUCUGCCCCGAGCAGCUGCUCCGAGUGAUUCUUGCACACAUCCACUACAUGCCUGACCACUGGCAGGGUAAUGCCCACCGCUCGCAGACCCGGGACGAGUUUGCCCAGCUCUUCCAGUACAAGGCAGUGUUCAUCUUGGAGGAGUUGCUGAGUCCCAUCGUCACACCCCUCAUUCUCAUCUUCUGCCUCCGCCCUCGGGCCCUGGAGAUCAUAGACUUCUUCCGCAACUUUACGGUCGAGGUCGUGGGUGUGGGAGACACCUGCUCCUUUGCUCAGAUGGACGUUCGCCAGCAUGGCCAUCCUCAGUGGCUGUCUGGAGGGCAGACAGAGGCCUCAGUGUACCAGCAAGCCGAGGACGGGAAGACCGAGUUGUCGCUCAUGCACUUUGCCAUCACCAAUCCCGGCUGGCAGCCCCCUCGUGAGAGCACAGCUUUCCUGGGCUUCCUCAAGGAGCAGGUGCAGCGAGAUGGAGCAGCUGCUGGCCUGGCCCAGGGUGGCCUGCUCCCCGAGAAUGCCCUCUUCACAUCCAUCCAGUCCUUACAGUCUGAGUCCGAGCCACUGAGCCUUAUUGCAAAUGUGGUAGCAGGCUCAUCCUGCCGAGGACCCUCACUGUCCAGAGACCUGCAGGGCUCCAGGCACAGGGCUGAUGUUGCUUCUGCCCUUCGAUCCUUCUCCCCUCUGCAGCCUGGAGCGGCCCCUCAAGGCCGGGUUCCCAGUACCAUGACAGGCUCUGGAGUGGAUGCCAGGACAGCCAGCUCUGGGAGUAGCGUGUGGGAAGGACAGCUGCAGAGCCUGGUGCUGUCCGAAUACGCGUCCACCGAGAUGAGCCUGCACGCCCUGUACAUGCACCAGCUCCACAAGCAGCAGACCCAGGCUGAGCCCGAGCGGCAUGUGUGGCACCGCCGGGAGAGUGAUGAGAGUGGAGAGAGUGCCCCUGAAGAGGGGGGAGAGGGUGCCCGGGCCCCCCAACCCAUCCCCCGCUCGGCCAGCUAUCCCUGUGCUACACCCCGGCCUGGAGCACCUGAGACCACCGCCCUGCAUGGGGGCUUCCAGAGGCGCUACGGGGGCAUCACAGAUCCUGGCACAGUGCCCCGUGGCCCCUCUCACUUCUCCAGGCUGCCCCUGGGAGGAUGGGCAGAAGAUGGCCAGCCAGCAUCAAGGCACCCAGAGCCGGUGCCAGAGGAGGGCUCAGAGGAUGAACUCCCCCCUCAAGUGCACAAGGUAUAGGCAAGGCGGUAGCUGGUUCCCAUGCUCCAGGAUGGAGGUGGCAGCUGCCCUGCCAUCCCUUCUGUCUGCCAUGAGAGGGACUCUCUGAGUGUCGCCUGGCCCCACGUGUGGUGUUUUGUGUGUUCCUGCCUGGCCAAGGGAGGUGCCAAUGCUGGGCUUACCAUAGUCCAGGAAGAAUAUGAGGACUAGGGGCACACAAGAGUCUAGCUUCGUCUCCAGGACUCCCUUGGCUCAGAGUGUGGUGCUAGAAACUGGUCCCCAGCCCAGUCCCAGUACUGCCAUCUUUGCAUCCACCCCUGCAAGUCUCCAGAGGGCUUCCUGCCACAGAAGUGCUGCCAAGCAGAAGAACCUGUGCCAACUGUGGAGUGGGGAGGCAGGGCCUGAACCCUCAAUCCCUGCAGCCUAGCCUCCCCACCCUCCAGAACCUGGAAUAGCUGAGCAGCUCAGGCUGUGGCCCUUACCUCCAGUCCUCACCUCAACCUGCGCUGCAGCCUCCCUCCCCCCUGCACAUCACUGGCAUGUGUGCUGCUUGACCACCCCCCCUUCUGUUCACCUGCCCCCCUUCUGUUUGGCUUUGGCUUUUUGUUGGGGUGAGAGCCCUAGCUCCCAGCUCCCCUCACUAUCUUUUGACACUAAGAUGGAAGGUUACUAAGUUGCAGGAACAGGAUGAAAAUUCUUUAUUACCCUCUUCAACUUUUAGGACGAGCACUUGGGAGUGUGAGGCCUUCCUGGCUGCUUCUAUGUAGUCCUACCACCUGCACAGAGGGGCUGGCAGGGCAGAAGUGUGACCUCAGUUAUAUAUACAUCCCAGCUCUGCCCAGUAUCCCUCACUUACCAAGAGGAGAAUGGAGGGAUAAUGGACUCACCCUAGCCUAGGGCUUCGACAUUGCAUGCUGGGAUCCAGCUCCUACCCUUCCUGCACUCCCUUCCCCAGUUCUGCUCAGCUCAGCUGUGGGAGGUAAACUUAAGCUGAAGGUGGCGGACUCUACUGUCGCAGGCCACAGCAGACAGGGUGGGAGCCCUGUACAGCUUGAUAACCCUUAAUAAAGAAGGGACUUUGA
Molecule: RNA transcript, 4032 nt
Organism: Mus musculus (house mouse)
Lineage: Eukaryota; Metazoa; Chordata; Mammalia; Rodentia; Muridae
Gene: Atg9a
Gene name: autophagy related 9A
Exons: 16
Source: RefSeq, marked validated